CCCUUGUUUUGUUGGAACACGGUAAAGGUAAAUCCCUCAGCAGUCUUUACUGGAAAAACCUGAAAACCCUUAAGAGUUGUAGUACUUGCAGGUUUAUUUGCUUUGAGCUUUUUAGAAGGAUAAAGCUGUGGCUGGAUGACAGAAAAUCCUUAUCCUAAGCAGGAGGAAAAGGUUUCUGCCGCUGCGUCCAAGCUCUCCCCGUGUGAGUGAGACCUGGCAGCUGUACAGCUCCGGCUGGAAAUGAUGCUUUGGCAGCUCUCAGCCCUAACAAAUUACCAGCUCUGCAGAAAGCAGCAAGUAACGAGGAGUUACAAGCAGACCCCAGGCUCUCCAGAGAACCCUCGGGGGAUGCUGAAGUGUCGUCGGCUUUAAGCUUCGAGAUGAUCCUGGCGGUUUCCUCCGUGAUCUCAAAGUGUUUGAGUUGCUGUUUGCUUCCUGAGCGGCCCCUGAGCGUGCUGGUGUCAGGCGAGCUGUUCCUGCUCCGAGUCCUCUCCCCCAGGACAUCCUUUGCCGUGGAGCUGCUGUUGGCAGGGCUGCCUUCUGCACCGGCGUCCAUGGCCAUGCUGGAUAACGUGGUAGUCCUCAAGGGCAAACUGGAAGGCUUGGGAAUGACUGGUUUCGUUUUUGCCUGCACGCGGAUGUAUUUCACGGGCUGCCGACUGAAAUGGCACCUGGGCUGGGUGCCGAGGACAGUGUCCGAAUCGCUGUCGGUCUUCUCCUGCACGGAAUCCUCCAGGUCCUCCAGCUCGGAGCCAGUGCUUGUAUUCAUCUCUGAACAACAACAACAAAAAAUAGACAGUUAUCUUAGAGCAGUGAGACGGGGUUACUGCAGCAAAUAGUUCUGGCUGAGGAUUUCUGUUGCUGUUAGAAAGGAUGCUGAAAGUCCUGCUGUACUACCAGGCGAAAACUCCUCCCUCUAACAGCUUUGUUCAUUGGAGGAAAUGUGAGAUGCACGCUUGGAAGAGGCACGAGGAAUGAAUCAGGUUUAUAUUCUUAGAGCUGUCCUCGGUACACUGAAGCCAGCAGAGCUGGCGGGUGGCUGUGGGCCUGGGAGCCGAGGCAGCACACACUUUUCCUGUGAGCACCAGAAAACGUGCUUGCGCUGCCAGGCAAGCUUCAUGGUGCUGUUCUGCACUCAGCUAUGAAUAAUUAUGAUGAAAAAGGCCUGGCUACACUUCCCCUGCUGUGUACCAUAGAGGUAGGAGGUGCACGACACAGCCAGCGUGGUACCAGGCAGCCUACACCAGCACCACGACCACCGCUUCGUUUACCUAGGGCAUCCGUGCUUAAUGGGCUGGGGGCUCCCUCCAGAGUCAGCUCACUGACGGCUUCCCUGGAAGACGAGUUAUCAGACACACAGUCCACGCUUAAACCGUGCUGGGAGGAGAAAUUCUGUUGGAAAAAGCCAGGAGCGUUUAUACAGGACACUCAUUUUACAUGAAGAUAGUCAGCUCCCACUUCACCCCGACUGCUGCUCUAGCCCAGUGAAUGGAAGCAAAAACAUAAUUAGAAAAUGCCCUGAUUUGUCUUAGAUUAUCUAUAAUGCCUGGGGGAGAAGGGAGGGAGUGUGCAGAAGGUCCCAGGGCUGGGCCAGAGGAAAAUAUUUUGGUUCAAGAGCAGUGUCCAGGCUGGCAGACCCCAACUGCCACAAAACCCCCCUGGAAAGCGGUUGUGUGCUGGAACUGAGGUUCCUGUGCCCCGUUUCAGGACAGAAAGGGGGAAAUGUCUGAAUCCAAGCAAUUAUAGCACCAAAAUUAUGAUUGAAUGCAGAUGGACAGGUGAGGGAAGGACACGGGGAUGCUUGGGAGCUGGAGCUUGCGUGGAACCAGUGUGAGUCUGCACAAGGACCAGGACACCCGGGCAGGGGCUCCAGAAGUUGGUUUUAUUAAUCACAAAAUGAGUGCCCUUAGAAGCAACUCCCCUUCCUAAAGGCUUGCGACACCUGUAGGAUUCAGUCAUGCUGCGGACGUUUGUAAAAUGCCCUUAAAAAUAGUCCAAGGCAAUAGCUGUGCACAUCUCAGUGCUUUCUUUAUGAACGCUGUGGGAUUUCUGCACACAGGGAUUGAAUUGUGUCUAUGUUGGUGAUUUCUUUCAUUGUUUUUUUCAGCUGUCUUCACAGUUACUCCGGUUUCUGCUUCCUCAGUGUUUCUACACGGCAGGCAUGGGUGUGAUCGUGGCAGACGGGCUGUCUUGCAGGAGGCAGAGAGCCCCAAACCAGGGCUCGACUGCCUUUGGCUUAACUUUAGGAAAGUAAUUUCCUCUUUUUUCACUCAUCACACCAGCCUUGGAAAGGAAAGAGCAGCCAUGUCUGGCUCGGGGGUGUUAUGCCAAUUCUUUUUAAGUGCUGUGAAGUAUGUGUGAACUAUUGUGAGGAGAGAGCCCUCAGGAGAAAAAAAAAAAAAAAAGUAAGGAUCCACGGCCAGGGAUCAGGAAUGCAGCAGAGCCCUGUAGGGUUCCACCAGGGAACCCGCUGGCUCUGAUGUAGCUGCUUCCAAAGUUGUCGAGCUGUUUACACAGGGAAACAGCAGUGUCCCGAGUAAUUUAGCAUGGAGAAACCCACAGUUUUUCAGAAUGACUGGGAUAUAAACCAUGGAGCAAAACCCGCUGUCCAGAGUGGGCUGAGAAGCUGAUGAGUGAUCUCUAGCCUAU
Cygnus olor (mute swan) is the source of this 2649-nucleotide long non-coding RNA. RefSeq lists it as uncharacterized. The transcript is spliced from 3 exons. The record is from RefSeq and is a predicted model, not a curated record. Lineage: Eukaryota; Metazoa; Chordata; Aves; Anseriformes; Anatidae.